Molecule: small nucleolar RNA, 107 nt
Organism: Gossypium raimondii (Peruvian cotton)
Lineage: Eukaryota; Viridiplantae; Streptophyta; Magnoliopsida; Malvales; Malvaceae
Rfam family: Plant small nucleolar RNA R71
About the family: R71 is a member of the C/D box family of snoRNAs containing the C (UGAUGA) and D (CUGA) box motifs. Multiple nearly identical copies of this snoRNA have been identified in Arabidopsis, and it is thought to function as a 2'-O-ribose methylation guide for 18S ribosomal RNA.
Source: Rfam
AAACUAUACAUCAGGCAUUUUCUAAUUAGCUUCUUGAAACGCUCCCAUGCUUCAUAUAAUGUUUCAUCUUUCGAUUGCCUAAACGAUGUAAUGUCUUAACUAAUCUU